RNAcentral lists this long non-coding RNA (422 nucleotides) under Anser brachyrhynchus (Pink-footed goose). RNAcentral describes it as "lncRNA (ENSABRG00000004746.1)". Lineage: Eukaryota; Metazoa; Chordata; Aves; Anseriformes; Anatidae. The record is from RNAcentral.
CUCUGAUUGACCUAUUAGAGAGAGAUUGCAAUGGAGGAGAUUGCAAUGGAGAUGACUGCACUUCCUUACCAGUAUGCCUAUGGAACCACACGACAGUGGACAUUUGAAUCUGCAGCACCGGUUCAUUGAUCAAAAGGCACAGCUGUUUUGCUCCUGGGUGUUAACUCCACCUCUGGCAUUCUCUACUCCUCUCCUAUGCUAAUGCUGAGUUGCUGUUCAUUGAUAGAAGGCACUGGUGUUGACAGGAAUCUUCUCACUGUCUUAAUACUAACCUUUAUCAUUAACCAGUGGACAGAAAAAAAUGAGAUCAAAAUUUCCAACAAAGUGAACCACUUUCCUUUGUAUUGAAGGUACACAGACAAUGUUCAUAAAACCUACAUGCUUACAUAUUUCUGUUUGACAUGCCCUGAAUUGUAUGCUGC